Molecule: transfer RNA, 86 nt
Filed under: Tequatrovirus T4
Lineage: Duplodnaviria; Heunggongvirae; Uroviricota; Caudoviricetes; Pantevenvirales; Straboviridae
Description: Escherichia virus T4 tRNA-Ser
Rfam family: tRNA
About the family: Transfer RNA (tRNA) molecules are approximately 80 nucleotides in length. Their secondary structure includes four short double-helical elements and three loops (D, anti-codon, and T loops).
Source: RNAcentral
GGAGGCGUGGCAGAGUGGUUUAAUGCACCGGUCUUUAAAACCGGCAGUCGCUCCGGCGACUGCCGGUUCAAAUCCUAUCGCCUCCG